This 1246-nucleotide long non-coding RNA is filed under the name Trifolium pratense (red clover). RNAcentral describes it as "long non-coding RNA (TPRA_LNC006654)". The record is from RNAcentral. Lineage: Eukaryota; Viridiplantae; Streptophyta; Magnoliopsida; Fabales; Fabaceae.
AAGUCACUAUCAUAAAUCCAUCAAUCGAAAAACAAAAAUCUUCUUUCAAGAUGAAGAAAUUAUUCUUUUGACACAUGAUGAAAUGAAAAUAUUAAGGGUCCGUUUAAAUGAGCCGUGAAUCGACAAAAUCAAAGUGAAUGGAGUACUAUAUUUCUCACAAAAUCAACACUUUGUAGUCUCUUCCUCAAAAAAUAAAAUGAAACACUUUGUAGUCGUACAAAAUCACCGUAAUUUUUCGAUUUCACAACUCAUAAAUUGUUGUGACCAUUUUUGUAAAAAAAAAGUUAAAAAUUGAUGACACCAUUUUGCUCAUUGGACUUAUGAAAGAUUUUGAUUUUUGGAUCCAAGACAAGCCCCAUGAAAUUCAAGGGUUUUAGUGCUUAAAAAAAAAGGGAAUAUAUAUUACUAUAGUAUUAAAAAUAAUAUUAAAUAAUAUACUAUACUAUAGAGUAAAAAUAAUAAAGAAUUUUGAAAAAGUUGAGAAGAAACCCUAGGUUCAGAGAAGUAGGUCAUAAUUUACAUUGUUUGAGUGAUUUUGAAUUUUGAGCUGCAAAAGCAAAGUAACUACUUAAACUGAAAAUGGAAGAAAAAAUUGAUUUUACACAACACUUAAUUUACACAAAAAAGAGACCUGACUCUAGACUUAAAAAUUGCUUUUGGGAAACGCUUUUGAACCAGAUCUGUUUCAAACGCUGGCAAAGCGAAAAAAUGGUAAAAUCAGAGUCUGGGUUUAGACCCAAAAGAGGGUAAGAAAGAGAAAGUAACAAAACAAACAAAGCCUUAGCCACACAGAAUAUAUAAAAAAUUANNNNNNNNNNNNNNNNNNNNNNNNNNNNNNNNNNNNNNNNNNAGUUUAAUUAUUUAGUGUUUCCAGUUGCAGAUCUAACAUGAAUAUGAUUUCAGAAAUACUCAAACUUCUAUAAACGCCGAGACAUUCACAGAAAUAGAUAAAAAUCAAACGGUGAAAAUUGAAAUUCAACUUUUUGAUGUUUUCACAAAAUAAUAUAUUAUUUAUUAAAAAAUUAAAAAUAUCCUUUCUCUAUAUAUGAAAACAGCAAAAAUUGUUUUGAGUGAAAUCACACACAAGAUGUUUUCAAAAUAAAAAAGAGUAAGUAAAGUAAUCAAGUUUUCUUUCUAGGUUUUAGGGAUUUAGGUUUUUGUUUGUUGCAUAUUUUAGUGUUAAUAAGUAAUUACCUUGAACUGCUGCAAAACUCGUACAAUUUUCCUCUAUUGGAGAAGAUGAUAA